Molecule: long non-coding RNA, 1596 nt
Filed under: Gadus morhua (Atlantic cod)
Lineage: Eukaryota; Metazoa; Chordata; Actinopteri; Gadiformes; Gadidae
Description: lncRNA (ENSGMOG00000023959.1)
Source: RNAcentral
AUGAAGUCUAUAUCUCCAUAUUCCAUGUUUUUGUUUUUUUGUAGUUAUACAGGUCCUGUGGUUGACGGCAGUCUCAAAGCCCAGAGAGAGAACCCGGAGAUGUCUGUACGCAAUACCGACGCUGGCCUGCGGGGGGCGAAAAAGAGGCUGGAGCAGCUGAUAAAGGACCUGCUGGGGGAGCUGGGCUGGGCCAGCAGAGGUAGAGGCCAGCAGGAGGAAGAGGAGGAAGAGGAGGAUGGGAGUGGGCAGAGAGAGGCGGGCAGCGGGGAAGAGUGUGACGACGAGGACGGCUGCGAAGGAUCUGCACACGACAAUGGUGAGAAGGAGGUAGGUGGGGCCUGGCCCUCUCUCCGCCCCCCGUCCUCCCCUCGCCGGCCCCCUCCUCCACAGGUGGCCGUUCUGGGGGACUCUUGCUCCAUCUCCACGGCUCACCUUUCACCUCUGACCCUGACCUCCCUGCUCUUCCUGUCUCUGCUCCUAUCGCUACGGCAACCGCUCUGAGUGGGACCAGGAGCAUUUAAUGAAGACUGGCAGAAAAGAAUAAAGAAAGGAGAAGCAGAAGGGACAGUGACAACGCCUCAGUAGAAGUGUGUGUGUGUGUGUGUGUGUGUGUGUGUGUGUGUGUGUGUGUGUGUGUGUGUGUGUGUGUGUGUGUGUGUGUGUGUGUGUGUGUGUGUGUGUGUGUGGACGGACAUUAGUAAGACACCCACGAUGAAGGCACGCAGGAAGAGGUUCAGCAGAGUGAAGAACAUGGACAGAAGCGGACUCCAUUUUGUGUCGCAGGCAUGUUCAGGACGUUCCUGGUAUAGCCCAUAGGGAACCCUGCUGUCAACCGAGAUUUAGUUACCUUUUAUACGCGGACGUCCCAGUCUGAUGAGAAGCUGUCUCGUCUGAGGACAAGGUGUCUCGUCUGAGGAACAGACGUCCAGUCAGAGGACAAGCUGUCCACUCCGAGGAGAAGCUGUCUCGUCUGAAGACAAGCUGGCAAUGAUUCCUUCCGGGGACAGUUGUUCUCUUUAUGUCCUAUUACCUAGCCUACUUACCCUCUUGUAUAUAUACACGUUUAUUUAACAUUGUUUAAUAGUUUGCACAGCACUACUGACUUUUUGAAGACAAAUGUAAAUACACAUAUUUAUAUGUACAACUCUAUAUUCAAGCAAUUGUUUGGUGUGGUUAUUCUCAGUCACACACAUGGAACUGUCUAGUCGCAAUUUUUUAAUCUUCAUGCCAUAAAGCAUCAUUCUAUGAAUGUGAUUAACCCUGAAAUACUGUUUUUCAGUUUCUGAACAAAUAAACAAAAAACAUUAUGAAAUUUAUAUUUUACUGCUCGGUCAUUCAGAAUAAGUGGGACUGCAGAGUUAAAACAGGUCCAUUUGUCACAAUGUUUUCAGACUGUUGGUUAGUCCAUAGUAUAAAUAAUGUGGAAGUUCACUGAAAUCAACUUAUUUUCACAACAAUUCUUGUGAAUGAGAUCAAAUAAAUGUGGUGUAAAUGAUCUUGAACUCUUUCUAGAUUCUAGCUGUGGAUAACCAAUACAUGGCCCUUAUUUGAAAAAAUAAAUAAAUUUAAAGUGGCAAAAUUUGAAACGGAAGCGUG